GAAUCAUCAUCCAUCCCCGUCGUCCACUCCUCCGACACCUCCCACUGACCGCUGCUGGGCCGCCACUUGGGUUGCCUUCUUCAACCUUCCUCUCAAUCUGGCAUCUUUCCCCUCCCUUCCCCUUCCAUUGGAUAGGUAGAUAGAUUCAUUGGUUGCCCCCCCUGAACUGUAGACUGAGACUGGAGGCUGGAACUGGGAUUGGAUUUCCGGUACAAGUGGAAAUGAAAUGAAAUCUCCACCCCACUGAUCGAUCUUUCUGGCCGUUCCUCUCCCUUGGGAGAGGAGAGAGAGAGAGGAGGGGGGAAAGAGGCCGUCGAAUCCUUGCAUCGUCGUCUUCUCGCUUUGCUUGGCGUUGGUUCCACUUGCACACCAUUCGAUUUCUCUGGUGGCGUCCGCAAGUCAAGUCCACCUCGUCAAAGCAAGCAAACCUCUCUCUCUCUCUCUCUCUCUCUCUCUCUCUCUCUCUCUCUCUCUCUCCUGCCAUCAGUCAGAGUCAAGCAAAGCUCCCAUUUUUCCCUCGCAGCAGCAGCGGCAGCCCUCCCUCUGCCAUGUCCGGCACCACCACCGCGGCGGCGACGCAGCCCAAGCCCCACCACCUCCCAAAAGCCUGAUUCAUGGCCCCGGCCCCAUCCCCGGCGCCCGCGUCCUCGCGGCCCACUGCCACACCGGCCGACGCCGCUGCCACUCCGCCGGCCGCGGCGGCGCCCCCGCCCCGCCCCUCGCCGCCGCGCGCCGCCCCUCCGCCCUCGCACUCGCAGGCUUCUCCACCUCCCCGGCCUACUGCCUCGCCGCCGUCCGCCCCGCCGCGGACAGUUGCUCCUCCUCCAAGGCCCACGCCGGUCUCGCCCCCGCCAACGUCCCCGCCGCCGACUCCCUCGCUCUCUCCGCCAAGGACGCAUCCGCCAGAGUCCCCGGCCCCUGCUUCACCUCCUGCCGCCGCUCCGCCGCGCGUGCCGGUGCCAUCAGCACCGACUAGCCACAAACCAUUGCCUAAGCCUGCCACCGCGGCUGACCCGGUCCGCCCUAGCACGAGCAAGAACUCAAGUUCCAACAAGCCGUCGGGCCCGGCUCCGCGGCACGGGAGCCCACCUGGCUCCCGUGGGGUCUUUAGUAAUGGUGUCGUUGUAGCCAUCGCUGUGGUGCUUGCCGUUCUUGUGCUUAGCCUCCUUGUCACAGCAGUUUGGUUCACGAACAAGCGCAAGAGGAAGAAAACUGAUGGUUACAGAGCUGGUUUCAUGUCGCCCACCUCGCCUUUUUCCUCGCAGCAACCUUCCGGUUCCGGUGACUCGGCAAAUGCAGGCUUGCCAAUCGAUCCUUCUGUCCACACCAGCUUGUCUAAUAGUGCUGGGAGCCCCAGGCUGAAUCAAUGCUUGUCCGAUAUCAGCAUGGGCAACUCCAGGUUCUUCUCAUAUGAGGAGCUGUAUCAGAUUACCGAUGGUUUCUCAGCCCAUAAGCUUCUAGGGGAGGGAGGUUUUGGGUCUGUGUACAAGGGCUGUCUGCCAGAUGGUACAGAUGUCGCCAUUAAACGACUAAAGGAUGGUGGUGGACAAGGGGAACGUGAGUUCCAGGCUGAAGUGGAGAUAAUUAGUCGGGUGCAUCACCGUCAUUUAGUUUCCCUUGUGGGAUAUUGCAUUUCCAAUAACCAAAGGUUACUUGUAUAUGACUUUGUGCCUAAUAACACACUACAUUAUCAUCUUCACGGACGUAGAAUGCCUGUGUUAGAAUGGUCCACCAGAAUUAAAAUUGCUGCUGGUGCUGCUCGUGGAAUUGCUUACCUACAUGAAGAUUGCCAUCCUAGGAUAAUUCAUCGAGACAUCAAGUCCUCAAACAUUUUGUUGGAUAACAACUUUGAGGCAAAGGUUGCUGAUUUUGGUCUUGCGAGGUUGGCUUUGGAUGCGGUAACCCAUGUAACAACCCGUGUUAUGGGCACAUUUGGGUACAUGGCUCCGGAGUAUGCAUCGAGUGGGAAAUUGACUGAUAGAUCGGACGUAUUCUCUUUUGGUGUAGUCCUCUUAGAGCUUAUUACUGGUCGAAAACCUGUUGAUGCAUCGAGACCGCUGGGUGACGAGAGCCUCGUCGAGUGGGCAUUAUCUUGUGGGUAGAGAAUCGAUCAUGAUGUCUGCAACAGCAUAGUAGCUAGAGCUUGUCAAUGUUUGAAGAAUUGCUGCACGGCUAGGCCAUUGCUUUCUCGAGCUCUUGAUACAGGCAAUUUGGAAGGGUUGGUUGACCCCAGGCUUGAGAAGAAGUUGAAUGAACCGGAGACGUUCCGUAUGAUCGAGGCUGCUGCAGCCUGCAUUCGGCACUCGGCGUCAAGGAGACCCAGAAUGAGCCAGGUGGUGCGGGUUCUUGAAAGCUUGGCGGACAUCGACCUAACAAAUGGAGUUCAGCCUGGGCAAAGCCAGCUUUUCAACGUGGCCAACACGGCGGAGAUAAGGAUGUUCCGGCGGAUGGUGGCCGGCGCGCAAGAUGACAGCUCCGACUUGAGCCUAUACGGUUGGAGCAGAGGCACGGACGCUGACCCGAGUUCCAGGAUCUUGUGAUGAUAGCCUUCUAAGCUUUCUGACUGUAUGUAGUAACUCUUCAGUUACCUAGUAGCGAAUUUAGGUGAUUGUAUCGAGUGAAAGUGGUUCCAUGACCGACCUUAAAUUCUUUAGGAAAUCAAAGUGAUUUGUAGAUUAUUCCCCGAAUCUUGAAAUGUAAUGUAUUUCGAUUUGUCCUAAAUCAAAGCAGUCUAAGUUUAAUCAAAAUUAGAGAAAAAA
Molecule: RNA transcript, 2759 nt
Organism: Panicum virgatum (switchgrass)
Lineage: Eukaryota; Viridiplantae; Streptophyta; Magnoliopsida; Poales; Poaceae
Gene name: proline-rich receptor-like protein kinase PERK8
Exons: 9
Source: RefSeq, a predicted model, not a curated record